This 466-nucleotide ribosomal RNA is filed under the name uncultured bacterium ECS44. RNAcentral describes it as "bacterial SSU rRNA". It matches the Rfam family "Bacterial small subunit ribosomal RNA", at positions 1003 to 1482 of the family's 1533-position model. The record is from RNAcentral.
GAUCAGAAUGAAUCUUUCUCGGACUACUUACAAGGUGCUGCAUGUUGUCGUCAGCUCGUGCCGUGAGGUGUCAGGUUAAGUCCUAUAACGAGCGCACCCCUAUCGUUAGUUGCCAUCAAGUAAAGUUGGGAACUCUAGCGAAACUGCCGGUGCAAACCGAGAGAAGGUGGGGAUGACGUCAAAUCAUCACGGCCCUUACGUUCUGGGCUACACACGUGCUACAAUGGUCGGUACAGAAGCAGCCACUAUGCGAAUAGGAGCUAAUCUUUAAAACCGAUCUCAGUUCGGAUCGCAGUCUGCAACUCGACUGCGUGAAGCUGGAAUCGCUAGUAAUCGGAUAUCAGCCAUGAUCCGGUGAAUACGUUCCCGGGCCUUGUACACACCGCCCGUCAAGCCAUGGAAGCUGGGGGUACCUAAAGUCGGUGACCGAAAGGAGCUGCCUAGGGUAAAACUAGUGACUGGGGCU